GCUUCUGUAGCACAGUUGGUAGUGCACUUCACUCGUAAUGAAGGGGUCACCGGUUCGAGUCCGGUCAGGAGCU
RNAcentral lists this transfer RNA (73 nucleotides) under Clostridium sp. Its description in RNAcentral is "tRNA-Thr". It matches the Rfam family "tRNA". From Rfam's summary of the family: Transfer RNA (tRNA) molecules are approximately 80 nucleotides in length. Their secondary structure includes four short double-helical elements and three loops (D, anti-codon, and T loops). Lineage: Bacteria; Bacillati; Bacillota; Clostridia; Eubacteriales; Clostridiaceae. The record is from RNAcentral. RNAcentral also lists the same sequence under 3 other names.